AUUGAACGCUGGCGGCAUGCCUUACACAUGCAAGUCGAACGGCAGCACGGGAGCAAUCCUGGUGGCGAGUGGCGAACGGGUGAGUAAUAUAUCGGAACGUGCCCAGUCGUGGGGGAUAACGCAGCGAAAGCUGUGCUAAUACCGCAUACGAUCUCUGGAUGAAAGCGGGGGACUCGCAAGAGCCUCGCGCGAUUGGAGCGGCCGAUAUCAGAUUAGCUAGUUGGCGGGGUAAAGGCCCACCAAGGCGACGAUCUGUAGCUGGUCUGAGAGGACGACCAGCCACACUGGAACUGAGACACGGUCCAGACUCCUACGGGAGGCAGCAGUGGGGAAUUUUGGACAAUGGGCGAAAGCCUGAACCAGCCUUGCCGCGUGGAGGAUGAAGGUCCUCUGGAUUGUAAACUUCUUUUAUUUGGGACGAAAAAAGGGGAUUCUUCCUCACUUGACGGUACCAGAUGAAUAAGCACCGGCUAACUCCGUGCCAGCAGCCACGGUAAUACGGAGGGUGCAAGCGUUAUCCGGAUUCACUGGGUUUAAAGGGUGCGUAGGCGGGCAGGUAAGUCAGUGGUGAAAUCUUUGGGCUUAACCCGAAAACUGCCUUGAUACUAUCUGUCUUGAAUAUUGGUGGAGGUUUGCGGAAUAUGUCAUGUAGCGGUGAAAUGCUUAGAUAUGACAUAGAACACCU
This 685-nucleotide ribosomal RNA is filed under the name uncultured soil bacterium. Its description in RNAcentral is "bacterial SSU rRNA". It matches the Rfam family "Bacterial small subunit ribosomal RNA", at positions 28 to 711 of the family's 1533-position model. The record is from RNAcentral.